Molecule: ribosomal RNA, 463 nt
Filed under: uncultured bacterium
Lineage: Bacteria
Description: bacterial SSU rRNA
Rfam family: Bacterial small subunit ribosomal RNA
Source: RNAcentral
ACUCCUACGGGAGGCAGCAGUAAGGAAUAUUGGUCAAUGGGCGCAAGCCUGAACCAGCCAUGCCGCGUGCAGGAAGACGGCCCUAUGGGUUGUAAACUGCUUUUAUCAGGGAAUAAACCUUUGUACGAGUACAGAGCUGAAGGUACCUGAAGAAUAAGCAUCGGCUAACUCCGUGCCAGCAGCCGCGGUAAUACGGAGGAUGCAAGCGUUAUCCGGAUUCAUUGGGUUUAAAGGGUGCGCAGGCGGAUUGGUAAGUCAGGGGUGAAAUCCCACAGCUCAACUGUGGAACCGCCUUUGAUACUGUCAGUCUAGAGUAUAGUUGAAGUGGGCGGAAUGUGUCAUGUAGCGGUGAAAUGCUUAGAUAUGACACAGAACACCGAUCGCGAAGGCAGCUCGCUAAGCUAUAACUGACGCUCAUGCACGAAAGCGUGGGGAUCAAACAGGAUUAGAUACCCUGGUAGUC